RNAcentral lists this ribosomal RNA (433 nucleotides) under uncultured bacterium. RNAcentral describes it as "bacterial SSU rRNA". It matches the Rfam family "Bacterial small subunit ribosomal RNA", at positions 64 to 507 of the family's 1533-position model. The record is from RNAcentral.
GAACGAGAAGCCACCUUCGGGUGGUGGACAGUGGCAGACGGGUGAGUAACGCGUGGGAACGUGCCUUUCGGUUCGGGAUAACCCCAGGGAAACUUGGGCUAAUACCGGAUACGCCCUCCGGGGGAAAGAUUCAUUGCCGAAAGAUCGGCCCGCGUCGGAUUAGCUAGUUGGUGGGGUAAUAGCCUACCAAGGCGACGAUCGCUAGCUGGUCUGAGAGGAUGAUCAGCCACACUGGAACUGAGACACGGUCCAGACUCCUACGGGAGGCAGCAGUGGGGAAUAUUGGACAAUGGGCGCAAGCCUGAUCCAGCAAUGCCGCGUGUGUGAAGAAGGCCUUCGGGUUGUAAAGCACUUUUAUCAGGAGCGAAAUACUACUGGCUAAUAACCGGUGGGGCUGACGGUACCUGAGGAAUAAGCACCGGCUAACUUCGUG